AUUGAACGCUGGCGGCAGGCCUAACACAUGCAAGUCGAGCGGAUGAAGGGAGCUUGCUCCUGGAUUCAGCGGCGGACGGGUGAGUAAUGCCUAGGAAUCUGCCUGGUAGUGGGGGAUAACGUCCGGAAACGGACGCUAAUACCGCAUACGUCCUGAGGGAGAAAGUGGGGGAUCUUCGGACCUCACGCUAUCAGAUGAGCCUAGGUCGGAUUAGCUAGUUGGUGGGGUAAAGGCCUACCAAGGCGACGAUCCGUAAUUGGUCUGAGAGGAUGAUCAGACACACUGGAACUGAGACACGGUCCAGACUCCUACGGGAGGCAGCAGUGGGGAAUAUUGGACAAUGGGCGAAAGCCUGAUCCAGCCAUGCCGCGUGUGUGAAGAAGGUCUUCGGAUUGUAAAGCACUUUAAGUUGGGAGGAAGGGCAGUAAGUUAAUACCUUGCUGUUUUGACGUUACCAACAGAAUAAGCACCGGCUAACUUCGUG
This 484-nucleotide ribosomal RNA is filed under the name uncultured bacterium. RNAcentral's name for it is "partial 16S ribosomal RNA". It matches the Rfam family "Bacterial small subunit ribosomal RNA", at positions 30 to 507 of the family's 1533-position model. The record is from RNAcentral.